AUAUAAGUUGGAGCCUAAUAAAAGUUUGAAAUUAACUGAAUGUAAAUCUUAGGCUUUAAGCUCGUCAUGAGCACAAGCCGAUCGAGUUUGAACCUCUCUAAACUUGGAUGAGUUGAGCUCGAACAUAUUAAAACGUGACUCGAUUCAUUUGCAGCACACUAUGUCCCUAUCCAACGCGAGAGAGGAACCUCCCCAUGCAUGGCGAUAUUUAAUGAAAUAGUUCAAAGGCUUUUUAUUUCUUAUUUCACACUUAACUAGUUAAUACACAGGCGAUAACAAGCACAUGUCAUGAAAGUCCACACUUAACAAGCCACAACACUUGAAGGGGAAAAACAAAGAAAGAAGAAAGCACGCACAACUAGAGGAAGAAGAAGGCACAGACCACGAGAAACACAACAACAUCCCACCAUGUUUCUUAAACCUUCACCACCCAUCUUCUUCUCCCUUUUUUUUUCUGCAUACAUUAUCUUUGCAAACGAAAUUAGCACAACAAAGACCAUCCCCAUGGCAUCGUCGGCCAUCACCGACACAGGUAUCAUUCAUUUCACCAGCAAACAUGAUGUUUGAGAGUGGAAUUUGCCUCAUGGCAACCGUGGAAUAAGGAACAGUGGCCACUACGAGCAUGACCACCAUCAGAAGCAAACCAACCUUCUUGCACUCCAUGAUCUCUCCACUCUCAAUCAAUCAAUUAAGUAUCUGGAUGUAAUUAUAUAUUAUUGCAUGCAUGAUACCUCUUGGAGAGCCUGCGUUUUAUAGUGGUUGGAAUCAUGCAAAGACCAUAUCUUUUUCAUUAAUAAUUGCAAGGUCACUUGUG
Molecule: long non-coding RNA, 814 nt
Filed under: Populus trichocarpa (black cottonwood)
Lineage: Eukaryota; Viridiplantae; Streptophyta; Magnoliopsida; Malpighiales; Salicaceae
Description: long non-coding RNA (PTRI_LNC003921)
Source: RNAcentral